CAUGCAAGUCGAACGAGAAAGGGGAGCAAUCCCUGAGUAAAGUGGCGUACGGGUGAGUAACACGUGGGUAAUCUACCUUUUGGUGGGGGAUAACGCUGGGAAACCGGCGCUAACACCGCAUGAGCUCGUCAUUUAAGAUGAUGAGGAAAAGAGAAAUCUGCCGAAAGAGGAGCCCGCGGCUGAUUAGCUAGUUGGUGAGGUAAAGGCUCACCAAGGCUACGAUCUGUAUCCGACCUGAGAGGGUGGUCGGACACACCGACACUGAAUAACGGGUCAGACUCCUACGGGAGGCAGCAGUCGGGAAUUUUGGGCAAUGGGCGAAAGCCUGACCCAGCAACGCCGCGUGAAGGAUGAAGUCUUUCGGGAUGUAAACUUCGUAAGAAUAGGAAGAAUAAAUGACGGUACUAUUUGUAAGGUCCGGCUAACUACGUGCCAGCAGCCGCGGUAAUACGUAGGGACCAAGCGUUGUUCGGAUUUACUGGGCGUAAAGGGCGCGUAGGCGGCGUGUCAAGUCAAUUGUGAAAUCUCCGAGCUUAACUCGGAACGGUCAAUUGAUGCUGAUGUGCUAGAGUGCAGAAGGGGCAAUCGGAAUUCUUGGUGUAGCGGUGAAAUGCGUAGAUAUCAAGAGGAACACCUGANGUGAAGACGGGUUGCUGGGCUGACACUGACGCUGAGGCGCGAAAGCUAGGGUAGCAAACGGGAUUAGAUACCCCGGUAGUCCUAGCCCUAAACGAUGAAUACUUGGUGUCUGGAGUUUUAAUUCUCCGGGUGCCGUCGCUAACGUUUU
This 787-nucleotide ribosomal RNA is filed under the name uncultured Acidobacteriota bacterium. RNAcentral's name for it is "bacterial SSU rRNA". It matches the Rfam family "Bacterial small subunit ribosomal RNA", at positions 54 to 861 of the family's 1533-position model. The record is from RNAcentral. Lineage: Bacteria; Pseudomonadati; Acidobacteriota.